GGGUCAGUAGGUUGGUCGUGCCACCGGUACGUACUGGUCUCACUGAUUCCCCCCUCCUGAAGAACCGUAAUGCCAUUAAUUUGGUGUUGCGGGGAAACAGGACUGUUACUUUGAAAAAAUUAGAGUGUUUAAAGCAAGCUAACGCUUGAAUACAUUAGCAUGGAAUAAUGAAAUAGGACGAUCGAUCCUAUUUUGUUGGUUUCUAGGAUUGACGUA
RNAcentral lists this ribosomal RNA (216 nucleotides) under Glomeromycotina sp. RNAcentral describes it as "partial small subunit ribosomal RNA". The stretch from base 75 to 216 matches the Rfam family "Eukaryotic small subunit ribosomal RNA", at positions 721 to 864 of the family's 1831-position model. Lineage: Eukaryota; Fungi; Glomeromycota. The record is from RNAcentral.